Molecule: ribosomal RNA, 544 nt
Filed under: Staphylococcus aureus
Lineage: Bacteria; Bacillati; Bacillota; Bacilli; Caryophanales; Staphylococcaceae
Description: bacterial SSU rRNA
Rfam family: Bacterial small subunit ribosomal RNA
Source: RNAcentral
UUUUAUGGAGAGUUUGAUCCUGGCUCAGGAUGAACGCUGGCGGCGUGCCUAAUACAUGCAAGUCGAGCGAACGGACGAGAAGCUUGCUUCUCUGAUGUUAGCGGCGGACGGGUGAGUAACACGUGGAUAACCUACCUAUAAGACUGGGAUAACUUCGGGAAACCGGAGCUAAUACCGGAUAAUAUUUUGAACCGCAUGGUUCAAAAGUAAAAGACGGUCUUGCUGUCACUUAUAGAUGGAUCCGCGCUGCAUUAGCUAGUUGGUAAGGUAACGGCUUACCAAGGCAACGAUGCAUAGCCGACCUGAGAGGGUGAUCGGCCACACUGGAACUGAGACACGGUCCAGACUCCUACGGGAGGCAGCAGUAGGGAAUCUUCCGCAAUGGGCGAAAGCCUGACGGAGCAACGCCGCGUGAGUGAUGAAGGUCUUCGGAUCGUAAAACUCUGUUAUUAGGGAAGAACAUAUGUGUAAGUAACUGUGCACAUCUUGACGGUACCUAAUCAGAAAGCCACGGCUAACUACGUGCCAGCAGCCGCGGUAAUAC